RNAcentral lists this long non-coding RNA (3820 nucleotides) under Marmota monax (woodchuck). Lineage: Eukaryota; Metazoa; Chordata; Mammalia; Rodentia; Sciuridae. The record is from RNAcentral.
CUCCCUAAUCUUAUGUUCUGGCCCCUUUAAUCCAGCACCUACAGGAUCCAGUCCCACGUGAACUCCUCGAAUACUGCUAAAAUAUGCUGGCAGAGACCAUCUGCUCAUUUGGGAUCUCUCCUCCCUUUCUUUCAUCAUCAAUCAUCAGACAUAGCACAUACUUGACUGGGCUAUGCAAUGUCUUUACCCUACUUAUACGUCUAUUUACUGAAAGCAGAGUUGGAGGGGAGAAGCCUAUUUGUUGUCUUCAAGCAAGGCUGGAAUGCAGGAGUUGAAGAGAGACUGGCUCUUCCCAGGGCAAAGAAGGAAAAUUUUGCAGGCUCAGAAGGUUUGAAAGACUAUGGAAGUUCAAAAUUCAGAGCAUCAUCCAUCCUGAUGUCCUGCCAAGUUCCAGAGUUCCAUCGUCCCCACCCCCGUUCCCUCAAAUGUCUCCAUACUCUUUGGUCUUCAGACUGAAUAUGUCCAUGAACUAAAAAAGGCAGAGCCAACUUACACUUACAGAGAGGUUGUCAUGUGACUAGCUCAAUUUAUUGAAAUCCCACCAGAGCCAAUAAUUAGUAGGAUUCCGGGGACCAUUUUCUUACCAAAUACUGAAACAAGUAAAUGUAUUUAAUCUCCAGUUUGGCUGCAAUGAGAAGGCUCCAUAAUGAUGAGAAAUUGCAUCCUGAUUUUAGCUGAUUUAAGUUUUAAAGAAAUGUUGUUUGUACACACUAUUAUCUUUAAGCUCUAUGCUGACAAAAUUACUCAGUUUGAAAAGGAAAAUUAUCUUCAGAGAUACUUAACCUAACCCUUCAUUAACCCCAGAUUUCUUUUUUCAACCACCUAAUCAUGAAUGAAUGAGAAAACUGGAAUACCAAUAUAGCACUUAAAUAUUUCCAAAAAUAAAGCCUUAAGAGAAUGUGAAUUCAUGGGCCAGAAAAGUCUGAAGAGAAUUCUCAAAAUCAUAAAUUUUCAUAGAAUCAUAAAAUUCGGGGAACUUAAUUAGAAGUUAGCUAAUUUGAAUCUCUAUUCAAGGCAAAAUAUCUUCAAAGAAUUCUUGUAAAAUGAUGUUCAGCUUCAGUUGGGUUACCGCCAGUGACAAGGGACACAAAGUCAACUCCAUUUUCAAAUACUUUUAAUUUUUAGGAAACAGCAAACUCAUUUUAAUUUCUACCUGUUGGCAAUACUUACACCAUCUGAAAGGAGAAAUGAGGGAUUAGAUCUACUCUUUCUUCGAAUAAUAGUAGAGGCUGCUGUUUACUUACCUGAACAUUCCUCAAUCCUUUGGACUACAGUCUUAAGUGUUAUAUCUACAAAUGGCCAUCCUUCAGCAGUGUGUCUAUUUUUGGUGCUUCUCUAUGUCUGCCAUGAUCUCACUUAAGCAUUGCAAUAACUCCAUAAGUUGAUAUUAUUGUCCCCACCACAUGGAUAAGAAUUCUGGAGUCUCAGGGAAGUUCCAACCCCUGGUCACUGAGUUGUUCCCUUCCCUUCUAGAUGAAUUUAUUUGUUAGUAAGUCUUAAAAGCACUUGAGAAUUGAGCCUGUGGAUGAUAGGUUUUUUGAGCAGGUAUGGGCAGUAGACAUUAAGAACUGGAAGAAACACAUUAGGAAAAAUGAAAACCUGUCAGGAAUUGUGACAAUAAUCAAAGUGCUGAGAUUGGCAUGAUUAAUGACAGGUAGCACAAGGUCAGGGUGAUGUUCCCAUGAUGUUGGGGCCAGAGUAGGCAGCAGGUUAGGGGAUGAGAAGAGAUUGGGGGAUUGAUUUAGUAGUCCUCAAGUAUUGAUCAAGAAGUUCUUGAUCAAAAUCAACCAAAUUCCAUUGUUAUAUUGUAUGCACGUAUGAAUAUGUAACAACAAAUCUCACCAUUAUGUAUAAUUAUAAUGCAGUAAUAAAAUAUAUUUAAAUAGCAAAAAAUAAUUAGGGGAAAAAAGGAAGUUCUAUGUGCUAGCUCUAUGCUGGGUGUUGGGAAUGGAUUUCGAAGAAAACAAAUAUGUCCCUUCCUUCAUGGAGAUGAAAGUCUGGUGGGGAAAGGGACAUUAAAUGAAUCAGCAUAGAGACAGGUGUAUGCAAAUGUCAAGUGAUUUGUAAGUGUUGGUAAUUAUGAGGAAAGAAAAGAACGAGGCUCUAAAAAGUGGUCCAGACUAUCUGAUAUAGGGGAUGUGCUAGUAGCCUUAAGGGUGGUUGGCCAUUCUGAUGGUGAGAAGACCAUCUCCCUGGCCAAAGGGCUGUGCUCCAUGUCUGGCCAACUGCCCCACCCUGCCAGCUGCGGAUUGGGCUGGGACAGAAUCCAACUGGAGUUUUGGAUAAUGACAGUCUGGAAGCACCCUCUAAUGUUACGGGAAGGAAUAUAGUAGAGAAGGAGUUGAGGAAGGAAGAAUUUUAAUUGAGACUGGCUUGGGGGAUGGUGAGAACAGUUCUUUUCCUGGACUUAGGAAAAGCCCCAGCAACCAUGUUGACAGGGUUGGGGAUAAGGUUUAGAGUGAUCCCAUGUGGUGUCUCAGAAUGUGUACUUACAGCCCAGCUAAAACUACUAUAAUGAGCUAAGAAUUCUUCCACUGCUCUGUUUGGCUCAUUUACUGUUCCAAAGAUGCCUUCUCAAUGCUUGUCCUCCUAGCUUACUAUAUCAGCGAAGAAAUGGAUAGAGAAGGCACAUUGGCUUUUAUUUUUUCAUGCUCCUAGAGGCUAUGACCUCAUCUUACAUCGACAAUGACUCUCCUUCCAAAUAAGGAGAGGUUUAGGACUUCAACCUAUCUUUUUGGCACAUUUCAACCCAGGGACAGAAACAGAGAACAGCUAAUCAUUACCAUCAGGAAAGCAAACACCUUUUCCUGGGGUCAGUUAAAGAUCCCCAAGCAGUCUGCACACUUGGGAGAAGGACGAGAGUCUCUGUGUCUCAAAGGAUCUCAGAAACUGCUGGUGGGGAGGGCAUUCUCCUUGCUCCAGGAAUUGCUUGAAAAACAGAACUCUAGCUUCACAAGCUGUGAGAAGGAAGAUGCCUGAGGAAGGCAUCUCUCACAGCUGCUAGGAGAGGUGGUGCAGCCUUCUCCAUGGUAGGGGCUGGACAAGAUAGUCCCUCAUAAAUCCUUGCAUACUACAUACCCUCCUUUUAUUAGAUUAUUGCUCUAUUUUGAGCCCUGUCCAGGUUAAUGCAUGUGCUACUUUCUCUGCCACAGAAUAUGGCAGAGCCCACAAGCUGCAGUAUGUUGUCAAGUGUGUGCAUCUACUGCCACCAUGUGCCCAAAAGACUCCAUGGCUAGAGUGAUCAGAGUCACCUUAGCAAGAAUAGGGGUAAAGGAGAGCAUUUCUGAUCAUUGUGUUGGGACAGCAGGUGUAAAUCAUGAGUGUUCCAGGUGCUAUAUAGUCACCCAUCCAUGAAAAGGGAAGCAAGUUGUGCAGGGGAGCAAGAGGAUGGGCAAAGAUUUUCCCAAGGGAAUUCUGGCAGUUUCCGGUUUGUCCCACUGGCCUACAUUUGUUCUCAGAACCAAGUUUCCUCUGAGAUCUACACUGGCCAUCUUGUGCCUCAAAGUUAACAACACAUUAAAGAGUUUUGAACUCCUUUGGCACAAAGAAUAAGGAAAUCGCAACAAUGCACAUUAAAGAAAAAAAAAACUUUCUAUGUUGCCUAUGUACUUGACAGGUCCAAACACACUUAAAAAGUUUUUUCUGACUUUAAAGGUGCAUUUUAAAUCAAUAAAGGAUCAAAAAGUCCAGAAAGGGCCUCUGUGUGUAUGCGUGUUUCAAAAUUGACAUAUUAUUUACAUAUGGAAAAAUAAAAGUAAAAUAUUUGUUUUAUAAUUGCUUCUUAGUCUGGAUACGGAUUUCUGUUCAUAGUGGGGAUGAG